Molecule: ribosomal RNA, 465 nt
Filed under: uncultured bacterium
Lineage: Bacteria
Description: partial 16S ribosomal RNA
Rfam family: Bacterial small subunit ribosomal RNA
Source: RNAcentral
GACGAACGCUGGCGGCGUGCUUAACACAUGCAAGUCGAACGGAAAGGCCCUACUUGCAUGGUACUCGAGAGUCGAACGGGUGAGUAACACGUGGGUGAUCUGCCCUGCACUUCGGGAUAAGCCUGGGAAACUGGGUCUCAUACCGGAUAGGCGCCACUUUCAGUCUGAUGGUUGGAAAGUUUUUUCGGUGUAGGAUGAGCUCGCGGCCUAUCAGCUUGUUUGUGGGGUAAUGGCCUACCCACGCGGCCGCGGGUAGCCGGCCUGGGGGGGGGGACGGCCAACAUUGGACCUGGGAAAGGGCCAGGACUCCACGGGGGGGAGCAGGGGGGGAAAAUGGACAAUGGGGGGAAGGCUGAUGCAGGGAAGGCGGGUGGGGGGAGACCGGCUUUGGGUUGUAAACCCCCUUCGAGCGGGAAGAAGGUGAUUGUGACGGUACCUAGAGAAGAAGCACCGGCUAACUACGUG